GAGUUUGAUCUUGGCUCAGAUUGAACGCUGGCGGCAGGCCUAACACAUGCAAGUCGAGCGGUAGAGAGAAGCUUGCUUCUCUUGAGAGCGGCGGACGGGUGAGUAAUGCCUAGGAAUCUGCCUGGUAGUGGGGGAUAACGCUCGGAAACGGACGCUAAUACCGCAUACGUCCUACGGGAGAAAGCAGGGGACCUUCGGGCCUUGCGCUAUCAGAUGAGCCUAGGUCGGAUUAGCUAGUUGGUGAGGUAAUGGCUCACCAAGGCGACGAUCCGUAACUGGUCUGAGAGGAUGAUCAGUCACACUGGAACUGAGACACGGUCCAGACUCCUACGGGAGGCAGCAGUGGGGAAUAUUGGACAAUGGGCGAAAGGCCUGAUCCAGCCAUGCCGCGUGUGUGAAGAAGGUCUUCGGAUUGUAAAGCACUUUAAGUUGGAGGAAGGGCAGUAAAUUAAUACUUUGCUGUUUUGACGUUACCGACAGAAUAAGCACCGGCUAACUCUGUGCCAGCAC
Molecule: ribosomal RNA, 510 nt
Filed under: uncultured bacterium
Lineage: Bacteria
Description: bacterial SSU rRNA
Rfam family: Bacterial small subunit ribosomal RNA
Source: RNAcentral